This 832-nucleotide ribosomal RNA is filed under the name Anthracobia macrocystis. RNAcentral's name for it is "eukaryotic LSU rRNA". It matches the Rfam family "Eukaryotic large subunit ribosomal RNA", at positions 76 to 925 of the family's 3401-position model. The record is from RNAcentral. Lineage: Eukaryota; Fungi; Ascomycota; Pezizomycetes; Pezizales; Pyronemataceae.
UGCCUUAGUAACUGCGAGUGAAGCGGCAAAAGCUCAAAUUUGAAAUCUGGCGCCUUCGGCGUCCGAGUUGUAAUUUGGAGGGACAUCUUCGGGGCUGGCGCCGUCCUAAGUUCCUUGGAACAGGACGUCACAGAGGGUGAGAAUCCCGUGCCUGGGCGGAUGCCCAGCUCCAUGUGAAGUGUCUCCGACGAGUCGAGUUGUUUGGGAAUGCAGCUCAAAAUGGGUGGUAAAUUUCAUCUAAAGCUAAAUAUUGGCGAGAGACCGAUAGCGCACAAGUAGAGUGAUCGAAAGAUGAAAAGCACUUUGAAAAGAGAGUUAAAAAGUACGUGAAAUUGUUGAAAGGGAAGCGCUUGCGACCAGACUCGACCUUUGGCGAUCAGCCGGGCUUCGGCUCGGUGCCAUCGCCAUUGGUUGGGCCAGCAUCGGUUCUGACGGUGGGAUAAAAGGCGAAGGAAUGUGGCCUCCUUCGGGGGGUGUUAUAGCCUUCGUCACAAUGCCGCCAGUCGGGACCGAGGACCGCGCUUCGGCUAGGAUGCUGGCGUAAUGGUCUUAAGCGACCCGUCUUGAAACACGGACCAAGGAGUCUAACAUCUAUGCGAGUGUUCGGGUGGAAAACCCUUGCGCGUAAUGAAAGUGAACGGAGGUGGGAACCCCUCGGGGUGCACCAUCGACCGGUCCUGACGUCUUCUGAAGGAUCUGAGUAAGAGCAUAGCUGUUGGGACCCGAAAGAUGGUGAACUAUGCCUGAAUAGGGUGAAGCCAGAGGAAACUCUGGUGGAGGCUCGCAGCGGUUCUGACGUGCAAAUCGAUCGUCAAAUUUGGGUAUAGGGGCG